GACGAACGCUGGCGGCGUGCCUAAUACAUGCAAGACGAGCGCAGGAAGCCGUCUGAACCCUUCGGGGGGACGACGGUGGAAUGAGCGGCGGACGGGUGAGUAACACGUAAAGAACCUGCCCAUAGGUCUGGGAUAACCACGAGAAAUCGGGGCUAAUACCGGAUGUGUCAUCGGACCGCAUGGUCCGCUGAUGAAAGGCGCUCCGGCGUCGCCCAUGGAUGGCUUUGCGGUGCAUUAGCUAGUUGGUGGGGUAACGGCCCACCAAGGCGACGAUGCAUAGCCGACCUGAGAGGGGGAUCGGCCACACUGGGACUGAGACACGGCCCAGACUCCUACGGGAGGCAGCAGUAGGGAAUCUUCCACAAUGGACGAAAAUCUGAUGGAGCAACGCCGCGUGAACGAUGAAGGCUUUCGGGUCGUAAAGUUCUGUUGUAAGGGAAGAACAAGUGCCGCAGGCAAUGGCGGCACCUUGACGGUACCUUGCGAGAAAGCCACGGCUAACUACGUGCCAGCAGCCGCAGUAA
RNAcentral lists this ribosomal RNA (524 nucleotides) under uncultured bacterium. Its description in RNAcentral is "partial 16S ribosomal RNA". It matches the Rfam family "Bacterial small subunit ribosomal RNA", at positions 28 to 523 of the family's 1533-position model. The record is from RNAcentral.